Molecule: non-coding RNA, 29 nt
Filed under: Homo sapiens (human)
Lineage: Eukaryota; Metazoa; Chordata; Mammalia; Primates; Hominidae
Source: RNAcentral
UCAGCGGAAGCAGGUGCAGGAUGUCCCUC